Molecule: ribosomal RNA, 235 nt
Filed under: uncultured Candidatus Saccharibacteria bacterium
Lineage: Bacteria; Candidatus Saccharimonadota
Description: partial 16S ribosomal RNA
Rfam family: Bacterial small subunit ribosomal RNA
Source: RNAcentral
UAAGUAGGUAGUGAAAUCGUGUGGCUCAACCAUACUCACAUUAUCUAAACUGCUAAGCUAGAGUAUAUGAGAGGUAGUUGGAAUUCCUAGUGUAGGAGUGAAAUCCGUAGAUAUUAGGAGGAACACCGAUGGCGUAGGCAGACUACUGGCAUAUUACUGACACUAAGGCACGAAAGCGUGGGGAGCGAACAGGAUUAGAUACCCUGGUAGUCCACGCCGUAAACUAUGGAUGCUA